Molecule: long non-coding RNA, 268 nt
Filed under: Homo sapiens (human)
Lineage: Eukaryota; Metazoa; Chordata; Mammalia; Primates; Hominidae
Description: non-protein coding lnc-POLL-2:1
Source: RNAcentral
GAGACAGGGGUCUCACUUUGUUGACCAGGCUGGUCUCAAACUCCUAGGCUCAAUCCUUCCACCUGGGCAUUCCAAAGUGCCAGGAUUACAGGCAUAAACUACCAUGCCCAGCUUUAAUAUAUUCAUAUUUAAACAAAUAUAUGAAGACUGUUCCACGUUCAAGUGCUGUAGUACACAAGGCGUGGAUCACACAGCUGGUAAAUAUUGGCGAUUCUAAAAUUUAUAUGGAAAUGAAAAUAACCAAGAAUAACCAAGAUAAUCUUGAAGA